Molecule: long non-coding RNA, 579 nt
Filed under: Coffea arabica (coffee)
Lineage: Eukaryota; Viridiplantae; Streptophyta; Magnoliopsida; Gentianales; Rubiaceae
Description: long non-coding RNA (CARA_LNC001286)
Source: RNAcentral
UCAUUUUUGUUGCAUUUUUGAGUUCAAAAACCUGUUUGAUCCUACUCCUACCUUUGCUUCAAAUCUCUGCAUUUUGAUUUGAGUAGAGAUAUACUUGGGUUAUUUGCAUGAAUAUAGAUUCGGUCAAAUAGGUAAGAGAUUGAAUGAGACUGCAUAGCCGUGAGUUUGCAGAAUCCAUGAGUUUCUUUCUAUGUUUUGAUUGUUUAGAUGUUAAAGUUCCAUAUUCGGUUGCUGGGUUAGAGCUUUGAUGUUUGGUGGGUAAAGUUUAGAUCAAAAUUGAGCAUGCAAAUUGAAACUUGCGUUUGGAAUUUGAAACUGCAGCAAAGAUGUUAGCUGAAAAAUUGCAGAAAGCUUUCUACGUGGAUUGCAUGAGCUGCAUGAAAUAAUUUCCAGAAAAUUGCAUUCCAACCCCCCAAGUCUCCCCUUGUUCCACUAUGACCCAACCAAUUGAAUAAUCUCUUCAUUUUGGUCCUUGGUAGUUUUAUUUUUACAGCUUUAUUGCUUGUUUGCUUCAAUUAAUUACUAUGCUUUGUUUAAAUUGCACUUCAUGCAUGAAUUUAAGAGCUUUAUGACCAUGUG